This 253-nucleotide ribosomal RNA is filed under the name uncultured bacterium. RNAcentral describes it as "partial 16S ribosomal RNA". It matches the Rfam family "Bacterial small subunit ribosomal RNA", at positions 524 to 776 of the family's 1533-position model. The record is from RNAcentral.
UACGUGGGGUGCAAGCGUUAAUCGGAAUUACUGGGCGUAAAGCGUGCGUAGACGGUUAUUUAAGUCGGGUGUGAAAGCCCCGGGCUCAACCUGGGAAUUGCAUUCGAGACUGAAUAGCUAGGGUACGGUAGAGGGAAGCGGAAUUUCCGGUGUAGCGGUGAAAUGCGUAGAUAUCGGAAGGAACAUCAGUGGCGAAAGCGGCUUCCUGGACCAGUACCGACGUUCAGGCACGAAAGCGUGGGGAGCAAACAGG